GUUAAUAGAGUCCUACGAGAUGAGAAGAGUAACUGGUGAAUGGGCUCUAUUUUUUAAUCUAGUUGGUGAUUUAUGGAGAAGAGAAAGAGACUCUUCAGGUUUCUGCCUUUCCAUCUCAUUUCAAGAACAGAAAUACAUCGAGAUGGGGCGUCCUUACUCCCAGUCUUUCCAGAUGUUCUUCCCACUCCUCAACUGCUCCUGGCUCAGAAACCCUGCACACCUGGAAGAAAGUGAGAACCAGUUUUUCAACAAACACAUUGCACAGACUUAUUGUGAACCCCGGGUGGAAUCAAGCAUCGGAGGAAGAGAACGUGGGUCUUGCUGUGUCCCUAGGCUGGAGUGCAGUGGUGCAGUCUCAAUUAUGCCAGAUGGCUCUGAGGUCCAAGUAAAAGAUAAUAUUUGCAACCAACUCACUGGAGUUGACCAUCAAAACUCUUUUCCAGGUGGAAAAGCACCCUGAAUCCAGCUUCCUGCUAUGAAUGAAUACUGAGCUUGGGUUGGUGGAAAUUGAUUUUCGAGAUAAAGAAUCCAGCCAGGACUGUGAAGCCCCAGGGAAUGGCUGCACUUCAAGUCAGAAGGAGCCUGGGUCCCUGAAUCAUCAUGUGGAAGGCUCUCCACCCAGUUCAAUGGUGCAAUGGACCACAAGCAGGAACUUAAUUUAGAAUGUGCUUAUUUUGUUAGAUUUUGUAAUUAAAAAAUGGAUCCCACUCUGACUGAAUCAGAGAUGUUGAAGUCAUUGAUCUGGGAGGGUAUGUUCCUGGGAGUGGGUGGCUGAGGUGAGAUUUCAAACAAGGUUGUUGAGGAAGAGGAGUUCAAGUGACUGAGAGGACAUAUUGUUGGAUAAAUUGUGCGUGCGUGUGUGUGUGUGUGUGUGUGUGUGUUGAAAUCACCAAGAAUAGGGAAAGAAGUGUAUAAGAGAGUGUGGCAGUGAGCCCAGAGCUAAAAGAAAUCAUGAGCAGGGAGUAAUUCACGAGCAGAAAGUAGAAGCAACGAGAGGCAGUUAAUGAGAGAAGCAGCUGAGGGAUUUUAGCAAGGGAUGGG
RNAcentral lists this long non-coding RNA (1041 nucleotides) under Homo sapiens (human). RNAcentral's name for it is "HSALNT0210874". The record is from RNAcentral. Lineage: Eukaryota; Metazoa; Chordata; Mammalia; Primates; Hominidae.